AGCGGAGGAAAAGAAACCAACAGGGAUUGCCUCAGUAACGGCGAGUGAAGCGGCAACAGCUCAAAUUUGAAAUCUGGCCGCCUGUGCGGUCCGAGUUGUAAUUUGAAGAGGAUGCUUUUGGCAAGGUGCCUUCCGAGUGCCCUGGAAUGGGACGCCAUAGAGGGUGAGAGCCCCGUAUGGUCGGUCGCCGAGCCUCUGUAAAGCUCCUUCGACGAGUCGAGUAGUUUGGGAAUGCUGCUCAAAAUGGGAGGUAAACCCCUUCUAAAGCUAAAUAUUGGCCAGAGACCGAUAGCGCACAAGUAGAGUGAUCGAAAGAUGAAAAGCACUUUGAAAAGAGAGUUAAACAGCACGUGAAAUUGUUGAAAGGGAAGCGCUUGCGACCAGACUUGUGCUCGUCGAAUCAGCCGUCGCUCGUCGGCGGCGCAUUUCGGCGGGCUCAGGCCAGCAUCAGUUCGCUGUAGGGGGAGAAAGGCGGUAGGAAUGUGGCUCUUCGGAGUGUUAUAGCCUGCCGUGUAAUACCCCUCGGCGGACUGAGGACCGCGCAUCUGCAAGGAUGCUGGCGUAAUGGUUGUCAGCGACCCGUCUUGA
Molecule: ribosomal RNA, 588 nt
Filed under: Lomentospora prolificans
Lineage: Eukaryota; Fungi; Ascomycota; Sordariomycetes; Microascales; Microascaceae
Description: eukaryotic LSU rRNA
Rfam family: Eukaryotic large subunit ribosomal RNA
Source: RNAcentral